Molecule: ribosomal RNA, 460 nt
Filed under: uncultured bacterium
Lineage: Bacteria
Description: partial 16S ribosomal RNA
Rfam family: Bacterial small subunit ribosomal RNA
Source: RNAcentral
CCUACGGGCGGCAGCAGUGAGGAAUAUUGGUCAAUGGACGAGAGUCUGAACCAGCCAAGUGGCGUGAAGGAUGACUGCCCUAUGGGUUGUAAACUUCUUUUAUAUGGGAAUAAAACGUUCCACGUGUGGGAUUUUGUAUGUACCAUAUGAAUAAGGAUCGGCUAACUCCGUGCCAGCAGCCGCGGUAAUACGGAGGAUCCGAGCGUUAUCCGGAUUUAUUGGGUUUAAAGGGAGCGUAGGUGGAUUGUUAAGUCAGUUGUGAAAGUUUGCGGCUCAACCGUAAAAUUGCAGUUGAAACUGGCAGUCUUGAGUACAGUAGAGGUGGGCGGAAUUCGUGGUGUAGCGGUGAAAUGCUUAGAUAUCACGAAGAACUCCGAUUGCGAAGGCAGUUCACUGGACUGCAACUGACACUGAGGCUCGAAAGUGUGGGUAUCAAACAGGAUUAGAUACCCCAGUAGUC